GUUGGGGACUCAUGAGAGACUGCCGGGGUCAACUCGGAGGAAGGUGGGGAUGACGUCAAAUCAUCAUGCCCCUUAUGUCCAGGGCUUCACACAUGCUACAAUGGUCGGUACAACGCGCAGCGACACUGUGAGGUGGAGCGAAUCGCUGAAAGCCGGCCUUAGUUCGGAUUGGGGUCUGCAACUCGACCCCAUGAAGUCGGAGUCGCUAGUAAUCGCAGAUCAGCAACGCUGCGGUGAAUACGUUCCCGGGCCUUGUACACACCGCCCGUCACGUCAUGAAAGUUGGUAACACCCGAAGCCAGUGGCUCAAACUCGUUAGGGAGCUGUCGAAGGUGGGAUCGGCGAUUGGGACGAAGUCGUAACAAGGUAGCCGUACCGGAAGGUGCGGCUGGAUCACCUCCUUUCUAAGGAG
Molecule: ribosomal RNA, 412 nt
Filed under: Corynebacterium striatum
Lineage: Bacteria; Bacillati; Actinomycetota; Actinomycetes; Mycobacteriales; Corynebacteriaceae
Description: bacterial SSU rRNA
Rfam family: Bacterial small subunit ribosomal RNA
Source: RNAcentral